CACGUAGGGUGCGAGCGUUGUCCGGAAUUAUUGGGCGUAAAGAGCUCGUAGGCGGUGUGUCGCGUCGGCCGUGAAAACCUGCAGCUUAACUGUGGGCGUGCGGGCGAUACGGGCAGACUGGAGUACUGCAGGGGAGACUGGAAGUUCCUGGUGUAGCGGUGGAAUGCGCAGAUAUCAGGAGGAACACCGGUGGCGAAGGCGGGGUCUCUGGGGCAGUAACUGACGCUGAGGAGCGAAAGCGUGGGGAGCGAACAGG
Molecule: ribosomal RNA, 256 nt
Filed under: uncultured bacterium
Lineage: Bacteria
Description: partial 16S ribosomal RNA
Rfam family: Bacterial small subunit ribosomal RNA
Source: RNAcentral